ACAGGUCCAGCGUCUACCAUUUCUUCACAGCUCAAACAUGGCAAUGGAUAUUUUGAGGGGAAAUGAUGAAUGCAUUGGUUUUGAGGAUAUCCUUAAUGAUCCUUCCCAGAGUGAGAUUAUGGGAGAACCACACAUCAUGAUGGAGCACAAGCUCGGUUUAUUGUAACAAAAUAUACUUCACAAAAAUGUUUUGUGUGUCUUUCUAGCGCAGAUCUAAGUACAUGGUACUAAAUUGACACUCACGGUGUUAAGCAGACCUAGUUAUCACUUGCCUUCCUUAAUGAAAAGGCACAUUAAAUGUUCAAAGUCCAUAAACUGUUCUGUGCUUGUUAUCAAUCAUAUAAAUGUCCUGUAACUAGGUAGUUUAAAUAAUGCCUUUUCAUAAACUGCUCAGGACAAUAGCUUCUUAAAUAUGGAAAUGCUAUACAUGUAUACAAGAAAUUAAAAAAUACCCAGGCAUUUUAAAACUGACUACUGUGGUAAAUGCAUUUAAUGGGGGAAGAGGAAGGUAUUUUCCGUUGCAUAACUCUUUGUUCAUGAAAAUUUCCAUACACUUUUUAAACUAUUGAAUAAAAGUUUGCUAUAAAUGCUA
Molecule: non-coding RNA, 592 nt
Organism: Cyanistes caeruleus (blue tit)
Lineage: Eukaryota; Metazoa; Chordata; Aves; Passeriformes; Paridae
Source: RefSeq, a predicted model, not a curated record